RNAcentral lists this ribosomal RNA (88 nucleotides) under Treponema rectale. Lineage: Bacteria; Pseudomonadati; Spirochaetota; Spirochaetia; Treponematales; Treponemataceae. The record is from RNAcentral.
AAUACCCGUUCCCAUACCGAACACGGAAGUCAAGCUCUCCUGCGCCGAUGAUACUGCUCUUUAGCGGGAAAGUAGGUAGCUGCCGGCU